Molecule: ribosomal RNA, 264 nt
Filed under: uncultured archaeon
Lineage: Archaea
Description: partial 16S ribosomal RNA
Rfam family: Archaeal small subunit ribosomal RNA
Source: RNAcentral
AGACGUCUACAUUAGAUACCCGCGUAGUCCCAGCCGUAAACUAUGCGCGUUAGGUGUAUCGGUGACCACGAGUUACCGAGGUGCCGAAGGGAAACCGUGAAACGUGCCGCCUGGGAAGUACGGUCACAAGGCUGAAACUUAAAGGAAUUGGCGGGGAGCACCACAACAGGUGGAGCCUGCGGUUUAAUUGGACUCAACGCCGGGAAGCUCACCGGAUAGGACAGCAGAAUGAUUGCCGGGCUGAAGACCCUGCAUGACUAGCUG